RNAcentral lists this small nucleolar RNA (204 nucleotides) under Delphinapterus leucas (beluga whale). RNAcentral describes it as "Small nucleolar RNA SNORA73 family (ENSDLEG00000013160.1)". It matches the Rfam family "Small nucleolar RNA SNORA73 family". From Rfam's summary of the family: U17 (SNORA73A and SNORA73B) also known as E1 belongs to the H/ACA class of small nucleolar RNAs (snoRNAs). Vertebrate U17 is intron-encoded and ranges in length from 200-230 nucleotides, longer than most snoRNAs. Lineage: Eukaryota; Metazoa; Chordata; Mammalia; Artiodactyla; Monodontidae. The record is from Rfam by way of RNAcentral.
CCAACGUGGAUACCCCGGGAGGUCACUCUGCCCGGGCUCUGUCCUGGUGGCGUAGGGGAGCAUAGGGCUCUGCCCCAUGAUGUACAGUCCCUUUCCACAACGUUGGAGAUGAAGCCGGGCCUUGAGUCUGCGCCUGCAUAUUCCUACAGCUUCUCAGAGUCCUGUGGACAAUGACUGAGGAGACAAACCAUGCAGGAAACAGCU